This 219-nucleotide non-coding RNA is filed under the name Alkalihalophilus pseudofirmus. Its description in RNAcentral is "Bacillus pseudofirmus T-box sequence". It matches the Rfam family "T-box leader". From Rfam's summary of the family: Uncharged tRNA acts as the effector for transcription antitermination of genes in the T-box leader family. T-boxes are found upstream of many aminoacyl-tRNA synthetase genes and some amino acid biosynthetic genes usually in Gram-positive bacteria. The anticodon of a specific tRNA base pairs to a specifier sequence within the T-box motif, and the NCCA acceptor tail of the tRNA base pairs to a conserved bulge in the T-box antiterminator hairpin. Lineage: Bacteria; Bacillati; Bacillota; Bacilli; Caryophanales; Bacillaceae. The record is from RNAcentral.
GACAAUGCGUAGAUAGGGAAUAGUAAAUAAAGCUGCUUCUACAGAGAGCUGACGGCCGGUGUGAGUCAGUGUAGCACUUUUUUGAAUCCACCCUUGAGUGAGUGGUGAAGCACUAAGCUUAAGCCAUUCCGGUAAAGAUAGCCGUUAUCUAUCUUUAGAGUGGUCUAUAUUUUAUAUAUAGGCAACAAGGGUGGUAUCGCGGGUGCUCUCGUCCCUUCU